RNAcentral lists this small RNA (28 nucleotides) under Bombyx mori (domestic silkworm). Its description in RNAcentral is "ovarian small RNA-6655". The record is from RNAcentral. Lineage: Eukaryota; Metazoa; Arthropoda; Insecta; Lepidoptera; Bombycidae.
UAUGUACCAGUUACUAGGACCUACACGA